Gigantopelta aegis is the source of this 753-nucleotide long non-coding RNA. RefSeq lists it as uncharacterized. The record is from RefSeq and is a predicted model, not a curated record. The transcript has 4 exons. Lineage: Eukaryota; Metazoa; Mollusca; Gastropoda; Neomphalida; Peltospiridae.
AUUGAUAUUUCGUGUUAUGAACAGUUUGUCACAAACUAUAAGUUUUAGGUCAAUGAAACGUGGUUUUAAGUUGCACCUAUGGAUGUUAUUGCCAUGUGCUAAUUCAGCACAAUUGUUGUUGGGUUUUUUAAUCACCAUUAAUAGUAAAAUGACAUAUGACAAUUAAUUCUAACACUUUUAAAAUCUGUUAUUUGAAAAUGCCCUCCAUUUUAACUGUAAAUAUGAUGAUGUCAUUUCUUUUUUACCCAAGUUAUAUUUCUAUUAAAAAUAUCUGAAUUUAAGUCAUGGUUCAUGUUAUGAUUGUUUUACUAAUUUGUUAUUAUAAUUAUUUCUGUUCAGAUGUGAAGCAGAUAGGGAAGAUGCACUGAAGAAAAUUAAUGGUCACAGAUGGAAAGAAUCGCUUCUUGAAGCCAAGAAAGCACAGCCAUCAGCAGAUCCUUUGUUGAAAAAGAGAAAACAGCAAGAGGAAGGAUCAGAAUUAUGCAGCAAGAAACUAAAACAAGAGCAACUAGAUGACAACACACCACCAGAUAUCAGCAUAGCGACGUACUCCAGACAUUUCUACUUUCUGUUUCACGAUACUGCCACGUGAUUUAAAGCCAAGAAGAUUGACCUUGGUAGAGUCAGAUUUCAAGUACAUGUGAUCGGUUGAUGGGCACCUGAAACAAACACACCGAUUUAAUUUCAACUCAGUAAUUCCAAUUUACCAAGUGUAAAGCAUGUAUAUUUUAAAAUUAAAUUUACAUUACGUUU